GAGUUUGAUCCUGGCUCAGAUUGAACGCUGGCGGCAUGCCUUACACAUGCAAGUCGAACGGCAGCAUGAUCUAGCUUGCUAGAUUGAUGGCGAGUGGCGAACGGGUGAGUAAUACAUCGGAACGUGCCCUGUAGUGGGGAUAACUAGUCGAAAGAUUAGCUAAUACCGCAUACGACCUGAGGGUGAAAGUGGGGGACCGCAAGGCCUCAUGCUAUAGGAGCGGCCGAUGUCUGAUUAGCUAGUUGGUGGGGUAAAGGCCCGACCAAGGCGACGAUCAGUAGCUGGUCUGAGAGGACGAUCAGCCACACUGGGACUGAGACACGGCCCAGACUCCUACGGGAGGCAGCAGUGGGGAAUUUUGGACAAUGGGCGAAAGCCUGAUCCAGCAAUGCCGCGUGUGUGAAGAAGGCCUCGGUUGUAAG
RNAcentral lists this ribosomal RNA (422 nucleotides) under uncultured microorganism. RNAcentral's name for it is "bacterial SSU rRNA". It matches the Rfam family "Bacterial small subunit ribosomal RNA", at positions 9 to 429 of the family's 1533-position model. The record is from RNAcentral.